RNAcentral lists this unclassified non-coding RNA (243 nucleotides) under uncultured fungus. RNAcentral describes it as "sequence contains ITS2". The record is from RNAcentral. Lineage: Eukaryota; Fungi.
AACGUAUAUUACGCCCCUUAGUAUUCCGAGGGGUAUACCUGUUCGAGCGUUAUUAUAACCCUCAAGUAUUACUUGGUAUUAAGCCCUACUACUUACCUAGCGGGCCUUAAAAUUAGUAGCGGUACUAUCGAGGCCCUGAGCUUAGUAAAUAUCCUCGCUAUAGGGACUCGGUAGACGCUGGCUAUUAACCCCUAACUUUCUAAGUUUGACCUCGGAUCAGGUAGGGAUACCCGCUGAACUUAA